This is a long non-coding RNA of Oxyura jamaicensis (ruddy duck), 5304 nucleotides long. RefSeq lists it as uncharacterized. Lineage: Eukaryota; Metazoa; Chordata; Aves; Anseriformes; Anatidae. The record is from RefSeq and is a predicted model, not a curated record. The transcript is spliced from 2 exons.
AUAAUUGUAGCAAACAGGCAGAGAGAAAGCUCUGUAAUAUCUGCUCCCCUUUGAGGUAUACCGCUGUGUCUGGUGGGUCACAUACCAGCCAGUGCCAAUCUGCUCCUACAACAGAACAGCAUUCAAAAAUUGACUUGAGAAUAGUGUUUACUAAUUCUGCAGUUACCUUCCCCUUCUGCCUUCUUAUCCAGCCUUUGCCUCAGCCUCUUUCAACACCAGCAGGGAGAGUAUCACCUCUGAAGUUCAGGUGGGUAGCUGUACAUGGGAGCUUGCAGCUUGACUAUAAAGCAUUUAUCUUAGCUAAUGUAGAGCUGAAGAAAGAUGUGCUGUUCUCUCCUUAGUGUUUUCUGCUAGUUAUGCCAAGAGCUGCUCAUACCAGUCUGGGGACCAGACACGUAAUAGUUAGGAGCAGAGUGUUGCACACUAAGGUUUCUUCGUCCUUGAUCCUGCCUCAGAGAUUCAAGAGCCAUACAUUAUUUCUGAUUUAUGAUUAUAUCAACAGCAAGUAUUCACACCGCCCCCUUGGACCUCCUCCACUUCCCUAGCCAUCUUGACAGAGAUGCUGGGAGUAUUAAUUCCAGCUGGGUGCACGAGUUCAGAGAGCCCUUCUGAAAGAGAAGUAGUGAAACAAAAGGAAGAGAGACGCUCUCUUUUGGCUCUGCUUUGUUGUGCUGCAGGAAGCGAAGAGACAGCAGUCCAGACAGCAGAGAUGACAGGUCAUGAAGAGGGCACUUCCUACAAGACAGGAAGCCAUGCUGACCUUUAUAUGGAGCCCCAUCUGGCUGCAGGCCUCCGUUCCCCGCUUUGUGCUUGGAUUUCCAUCCUCUGCGCAUGGCUGAGCUAGGGGCUGCUGCAACUGGCUAGGCAACAUGCUGUGGGAGAGACUGGUCAAGCGCCUGGACCCUUAUUGUUGGGUGCUGCCACCAGGCAGAGAAAUCCCUGACUAGAUUACGAAGAGGCUGAUGAUGCCAGCUGGAGGACCUGGGGUGUAAGGCAUGCAGUCAUAGGAUGCCAGAGACACACAGCUGAAUCAGUGUGAAUCAUGAUCCUGCAGAAACUUUUCAAGGAAAAAAGUAGCUGUCAAUCAGCCAAACUACCUAAAAUAUCUCUUCAUUUUUACUGUUUCAUUUCAUAUCUUAAAGGUCUAGUAAGGUUAUAAAUGUGAUCUGUUAAGGGGUAUUAGAAGAGAGUGCAACUUUUUUUUUUUUCUUUUUUUUUAAUGAAAACAAUUUUAAAAGAAAUUACAACUCCACUUCCCAGAAUUAGUUUGUAGGAUAUAGACUAUAUUUAUUACUCUUAUCAUAGUUGUUUAUAUUUCACAAAUGUGUGGCAGCUCCAGGCAUGAUCUGUAAUGGUAGGCCAUGUCCAACUUAAGGCUCCUCCACAUAUUGAUGAAUUAUGGUCUAAAGACUCUGUGAGUGAGAACACAUUAAUAGAUUGGAGAGGAAAUUCUGGGCUCCUGGUGGGAAAUCUUCACAAACACAAACUUAUACCUUUAUGUAUGUAUUCAGUUUGUACUGGUUGAAUUGAAGGGGAAGCACAAGAGGGUCAGUUGUGACUCUGAAUUAGGUGUUUUUAUCCUCAUGAAAAUGCAAGAUGGUAAUUUGGCUUCAUAGAACUCGACUCAUUAUAAUUCAAGUGAUGCUAUCAGCUGCACUAUCAUGAUUAAUGCUGUCAAUACACAAACAUUAAUUAAUACCAUUAAUAUUUUGAAAUCUGGAGUUAAUUUUCUGUACCAGAAUUAUUAGGCUAUCUUGAGGUCAGGAACCAGAUGUGGCACAGUGCUUCCAAGUUUAGGUUUUUAAAUGAUCUUCCCAAGACAAAAUAAGCUAACAUUUUGAAAAGGUAAAAGUGUGAAGCUAAAACAUGCAAGAUGAUAUAGGAACCCAGAGACCAAACUAUGGAAGGACCCUGACCUCUUUUAUCUUUCUGAAAAGCUGAGUGGAAUAUGAAAAACAGGAGAGGCCAGUGAAGAUCUGAAGACCUCUACAUUUUCAAACUGUUCUGAAAGUUAAGUUGUGGUAGUGCAGAUAGAAGUCUGCUUUGCAUUUGUGGUUUGUGCUGGAAAGUGUAUAACUGUCAGGAAGAGGAAAUGUGACUUAGUGAAGUGCUGAGUUACUUAUAUACUAUUAAGAAUCAUCUACCAAAUGGAACAGACACUGUUUUCAGGACUAUGGGAAGGAGGUGAAAACAGCACAAAGUGUUACAUAGGGAAAGUACUGGAAAUUGGUUAAUUCCAGGAGCUGUGGAAGGUUAUUUUAUAUGAGGAUGCAUGUAUCCAUUUAUUUACUGAACUGUGUACUUCCAAAUGAAUGAAUUUAUUUCUAAAAAAUCUCAACUUUAUUUCAUUUAGGCUGAGAGUACUGUAACAUCUUUUCUCAUAUUAUGUUUCAAGGAGGUUCAUCCAGUUCUGGAUAAGCCCAAGAGGUACUAGAUUACACAGCAAAAGUACAUAAAGACAUAAAGGUUUUUCAGAAUAUUAUUUAAAUCUGUCUAAGUUUGUUUUGAGAUUGAAUUGUUUCACUAAAAUAAAAUAAAAUAAAAUAAAAUAAAAUAAAACUGUCAGUAAUGUUUUAGGAAUUUUUUAGAAAAGGUUCGUUCUAAAAAGGUUGCACUUUAUAAGUUGCUAAAAGAUUUCAAAUAAUAAAGGAUUCUUGUAAUUUUUGAAUUAUCAAAAAUUUUCAAGAUCUUUGAUCCUUUAUUAAAAAAAAAAAAAAAAAAAGGCAGAGCAAAAAGAACAACACUAAUUUAUUGUAUUUGGAAAAGGCUACAGAAGUGCACCACUCCAAUUUCUUUUUGAACACAAGUACUCCGGUUCCAUAUUAGCUUUGCCUUUUGUAGUGUGGCAAAGUAUCUAGGGAAUUCCAAGUGAAUUUUUUCAUCUUCUCCAGAACAGGAAACAUAUUGGAAAAAAUUCCUGUGACGAAUGUAAGCUGUUUUUCACUGCCCAGUCCCUGCUCUUACUGCUGCACAGAGCAAGGCGGUCACCUAUGGGAAAAUAAAUCUUAAAAAGUCGCAACCCUACAUAAAAAUGAUCAUGCUGGGUAGAUCAUGCUACUCUGCUGAGUCACUUUUGUAUCCAUGUUUACCUGAGCCAAAAACGUUUAAAGUGGUUUCCUAAGUUCAUAACUUCUUUGGGUUGCCAGACUGUCGCAGAGCAGUAGGAGUAGACAGAUUAAUUUGAUUCCAGUCAGUUGGAUUCAAAGGAAAGCUGGACAGGGUCCAUCCGCAUGAUGCUUGCAUUUUAAGUGAGGUAUCUGUUUCAAUAAGCAAUGUGCUGUGUUUGCUGAAUAGGUUGAAUUUCAGCUCAGGUGCCCUGGAUGAAGCGUGUUCUGAAUUCAGCCCCAGUUUGGGGGAAAGGGCUGGAGCACAGAGACUGGAUUUGAGGUUGAACAGACAGUUUCUGCAAGAGAUGAGACCUCUGCAUUUCAUCACAAAAGUGAUGGAUCUGGUCCAAAGGUCAGUGAGGUGAAUGGAAAGGCUCCAGAUGAAUUCAAUAGUUCUGGAGCAGACUAAUGAGUGCAAUUUUUAUUUCUCUCCUCCUGCCUCCCCUUUUAGUUUCUCAAAAACAUUAGAUAUCCAUUUUUCUGUAUAUAAUCACACCUUUCCUAUUUCUUAUUUUUUUGUUUGCAUUUGAUAAAUAUUUUAGAGCCCUUCACAGACCAGGCAAGAGUCAGACAGAGAGGAAGAGACCAAAGCUAUUAGUCAGCUUUGGGAUAUUUCUCAAGUACUAGGGAGGAAAAAAGAAGUCUAAUUUGUAUUUGUUGUUCCCAUACUUCUGAUCUAUUGUCAUCAGGCUAAAAUAUUUGCCUUUAUAUUGCUAAACAACAAGAGUCUUCGGAAGCUUUGCAAAAGUACAUUUGUUAGUCACUGUUUGUUGAACUCUCUGAAAAUGACAAAUGUUAGCUUGUAUUUGCUUGUAUUAAAAGAGCAUAACUUUUUAUCUUAAAAGAAGUUAAACAUGUUGAUUAAAUUGAUAUUUCUGUGUUUGUCUUAAAAUUGUUUCACUCGUGCCUUUCUUACUCCUCCUCACUUUCUAGAAUCUCUCUUCUUGGGCAAAUCUAGAAAUUCUCCACAGCCUUUUUAGUCUGCAAAAAUGCUGUUUCCAUGCCUGACAGCUGCUCCUUUUGUUGUAAAAAAUAUUCCAAAAACAAAACAAAACAAAACAAAAGCAUUCUCUUUUUCACCAAAACAUGAUGAAGAAUAGAUAAAAUACCAUAUUAUUAAAAGAUUGAUGCUAUCAUGCUAUAUACCAGUCAAUUAUAGAAAGAAUUUAUGAAAUAUUAAACAAAAUGUCAGAAACAGCAAUUCAGAGAAAGCACACAGAUAUGAAACCCCAAAAAUCUAUCUGAUUGUGAAAGUCAAUUUCCUAUGGCUUAAGGAAGUGGCCAUCCAGAAAUCAGUUAUUGCUUUGCUGUACCACUUAGCACCCUAUGAAAGCACAUUGUCACUACCUUACCAUGAUGUCUGUGAAUCCAUUCAGCAUUAUCCAAAGAUAAGGAAAGGUGUCAAAUUAUGAAAAGGGCAUAUGUAAAAUUCAACAGCUGAUAUAUACUUUUUCUUGGCUGUCCCUGGCACUAUGUAAGGUGCUGUGCUACCACAUGGUCAUAUAGCGUCUCCUCCACGUGGGAACAGUUUUUGCAGUCACAGAGCAGGGUCCAUAUGCAGGUCCACCAUGUUGGCUUUUUUGAAAUGUUUUAGGGUUUGGCUUGUUCCAGUGAAGCAUUGACUUACUCUGUCCUAUACUUAAACACUAUGUUGUCUUGGUGCACCAGUCUGCCUGUGGUUUUGCAUGGAGGACUCUGACCAUGGAGUGCUAUGUUCAUACUUUGAAGGACCUGCGAAUUUUGCUACAAAUCUUUUUAUUCUUUAGCCUUCUUGAUGUUUUGCUGAGAGAUCAUUUUGCUACUGUCACUUUCCCAGUUUGGGGGGAUUAUAUUGUUUGCUGAACGAGUGCAGUAACAGAGAUCUGAGACUGGAACCGUGUGUAGAGUCUCCCUAUCCCUUCUCAUUGACAUUAUUUGUGGUUGGGCACAGGAGAGCCAUGAGUAGAAUAUUGUAGGGCAGGGGGAAGAUGGGGUGGACAGAACAGAGAAGCUUUCUCAUGCAGAAACUUCUUUUUUGCCCCAGGAUAAGAGUCUGUUUCCAACAGAGAAUCAGAGAAACUGGGCAUAGGUAAGAUAGGGUGUGCUCCUAGUUACUUUGAUCCCUCUUAUCUGAAGAGGUCUUAUCCAACCUUUUGAUGAGGAGAAAAAAAGCCUUCUGUUAUCAAGGGUAGUUGCUCCCUAUUAAUGAUGAAAAAAA